UGCAAGUCGAGCGAACUGAUUAGAAGCUUGCUUCUAUGACGUUAGCGGCGGACGGGUGAGUAACACGUGGGCAACCUGCCUGUAAGACUGGGAUAACUUCGGGAAACCGAAGCUAAUACCGGAUAGGAUCUUCUCCUUCAUGGGAGAUGAUUGAAAGAUGGUUUCGGCUAUCACUUACAGAUGGGCCCGCGGUGCAUUAGCUAGUUGGUGAGGUAACGGCUCACCAAGGCAACGAUGCAUAGCCGACCUGAGAGGGUGAUCGGCCACACUGGGACUGAGACACGGCCCAGACUCCUACGGGAGGCAGCAGUAGGGAAUCUUCCGCAAUGGACGAAAGUCUGACGGAGCAACGCCGCGUGAGUGAUGAAGGCUUUCGGGUCGUAAAACUCUGUUGUUAGGGAAGAACAAGUACGAGAGUAACUGCUCGUACCUUGACGGUACCUAACCAGAAAGCCACGGCUAACUACGUGCCAGCAGCCGCGGUAAUACGUAGGUGGCAAGCGUUAUCCGGAAUUAUUGGGCGUAAAGCGCGCGCAGGCGGUUUCUUAAGUCUGAUGUGAAAGCCCACGGCUCAACCGUGGAGGGUCAUUGGAAACUGGGGAACUUGAGUGCAGAAGAGAAAAGCGGAAUUCCACGUGUAGCGGUGAAAUGCGUAGAGAUGUGGAGGAACACCAGUGGCGAAGGCGGCUUUUUGGUCUGUAACUGACGCUGAGGCGCGAAAGC
RNAcentral lists this ribosomal RNA (723 nucleotides) under Priestia aryabhattai. RNAcentral's name for it is "bacterial SSU rRNA". It matches the Rfam family "Bacterial small subunit ribosomal RNA", at positions 56 to 760 of the family's 1533-position model. The record is from RNAcentral. Lineage: Bacteria; Bacillati; Bacillota; Bacilli; Caryophanales; Bacillaceae.